RNAcentral lists this transfer RNA (71 nucleotides) under Heliconius melpomene (postman butterfly). RNAcentral's name for it is "tRNA HMEL017527". Lineage: Eukaryota; Metazoa; Arthropoda; Insecta; Lepidoptera; Nymphalidae. The record is from RNAcentral.
GAACGUGUGGCUUAGUGGUCAGAGCGCUUGGGCGGCAUCCAAGAGGCGGGGUUCAAAUCACGCUAAGUUAA